This 1202-nucleotide ribosomal RNA is filed under the name metagenome. RNAcentral's name for it is "bacterial SSU rRNA". It matches the Rfam family "Bacterial small subunit ribosomal RNA", at positions 139 to 1343 of the family's 1533-position model. The record is from RNAcentral.
GAAGAUAGCCCCGAGAAAUCGGGAUUAAUACUCCAUAAUAUAUACGAAUCGCAUGGUUUGUAUAUUAAAGCUCCGGCGGUUAAAGAUGGGCAUGCGUGACAUUAGUUAGUUGGUGAGGUAACGGCUCACCAAGACGACGAUGUCUAGGGGUUCUGAGAGGAUUAUCCCCCACACUGGUACUGAGACACGGACCAGACUCCUACGGGAGGCAGCAGUGAGGAAUAUUGGUCAAUGGGCGAGAGCCUGAACCAGCCAUGCCGCGUGCAGGAUGAAGGCGCUAUGCGUUGUAAACUGCUUUUUUUAUAGGAAGAAACCUAUCCUCGUGAGGGUAGCCGACGGUACUAUAGGAAUAAGCACCGGCUAACUCCGUGCCAGCAGCCGCGGUAAUACGGAGGGUGCAAGCGUUAUCCGGAUUUAUUGGGUUUAAAGGGUACGUAGGCGGAAAAUUAAGUCAGUGGUGAAAUCCUGCGGCUCAACCGUAGAACUGCCAUUGAUACUGAUUUUCUUGAAUAUAGUUGAGGUAGGCGGAAUGUGUAAUGUAGCGGUGAAAUGCUUAGAUAUUACACAGAACACCGAUUGCGAAGGCAGCUUACUAAACUACUAUUGACGCUGAGGUACGAAAGCGUGGGGAGCGAACAGGAUUAGAUACCCUGGUAGUCCACGCUGUAAACGAUGAUCACUCGUUGUCUGCGAUAUAUUGUAGGCGACUGAGCGAAAGCAUUAAGUGAUCCACCUGGGGAGUACGUUGGCAACAAUGAAACUCAAAGGAAUUGACGGGGGCCCGCACAAGCGGAGGAACAUGUGGUUUAAUUCGAUGAUACGCGAGGAACCUUACCUGGGUUUAAAUGUAGGUUGCAUGAUCGGGAAACUGAUCUUUCCUUCGGGACUACUUACAAGGUGCUGCAUGGUUGUCGUCAGCUCGUGCCGUGAGGUGUCGGGUUAAGUCCCAUAACGAGCGCAACCCCUAUCGUUAGUUGCUAGCAGGUAAUGCUGAGGACUCUAACGAGACUGCCGGUGUAAACCGAGAGGAAGGUGGGGAUGACGUCAAAUCAGCACGGCCCUUAUAUCCAGGGCUACACACGUGUUACAAUGGUCGAUACAAAGAGCAGCCACUUGGUGACAAGGCGCUAAUCUCUAAAGUCGAUCACAGUUCGGAUCGAAGUCUGCAACUCGACUUCGUGAAGUUGGAUUCGCUAGUAAUC